Molecule: long non-coding RNA, 2192 nt
Organism: Gopherus evgoodei (Goodes thornscrub tortoise)
Lineage: Eukaryota; Metazoa; Chordata; Testudines; Testudinidae
Exons: 3
Source: RefSeq, a predicted model, not a curated record
ACAAAUGAAAUUCCAGCUUUCAUAUUUAAUACUCAAAACAAACCGAUUAACUUCAUUUUUGGAUGGAAACUAGUUCUGUAUGUUAUGCUGGAACUCCCACCUUGCCAGGUCUCCAAAUGAGGUCAGUUUUUGGUGUCAGGGCUUUCACCAACUGAGAAAUCCCCUUUGUAACUUAUUUUAUUUUCAAAAAUUUUUCUAAGUUUGUUAAAGCAGAAGAAGGUUCCUCCCCCUAACGCUGAAUUUCAGAAACACCAAGCUGAGGAAGAGGGGUACAGUUUUCCUCUCUGAAUGCAAUGAAAUUUUGCCUAUAAAUAUAUUUCAUGGUGGUAUAAACACAACAUACCUUAUGAAGAAACAAGGGUCUGGUUUCGUAAGUUGCUGACUGCCCUUGGCUGCCACUGAUGCAACUCUAUGUGCCUGAUUCUGCUUUUUAAAGUUAACAGGAGUUUUGUCAUUGACUUCACAGGAAAAAGGAUUCAGUGCUAACACUGCCAACGUGGAUAAAAACAUGUAUUGUACAAAAAAGCAUAGAAGGGGGUUUCUCCUCCAAUGUAAGUUGUAUUAUUUGAUAGCUCGUAAUUAUUUUAUCUACCUUCAGCAUUUAUAUAGCACCAAUAACCAAUCGUUUCAUUGUUAAGGCACUGAACUGGGACUCAGAUGACCAGGGUUCCUAGCCCCAAAUUUGCAACCAGCUUCCUCUGUGGUUUAGGUUAAUCAUUUCAUUUCUCUGUACCUCAUUUCUCCAUUCGUAAAAUAGGGAUUUAAUACAAACAUCCCACUUCACAGGAAUGUUCAUGGUUAUCAGAUGCACAGAUACUACCGUGAUGAGCACCACAAAAACACCUAUAAACAAAUGAUAAAUCUAUGCAUAGAUUUAUUGGUUAAAAAAUAUUCUGCUGCAGGUACCAAUUCUGAAAGUGUGCAGUGUGAGGCAACAGGAACUAGCUCCGGUUCCUCAUGUUAGUCCCCAUUCACACAUUUUGGGGGAAAUCCUGGCCCAGUGAAGUGAGUGGGUAAGAAAAAGACUCCCAUGGACUUCUAUCAGGCCAGGAUGUCACCCUCUAUUUAAAAAGGUCAUUGUUGAUGCUGUCUGAGCUAUCUGGAUUUGUAGGGUAAAUCUUCCACAAAUAGAUUAUUUCCCUUAACAGACCAUAGAAAGCACCUCUGGAGACAUGCCUAUUGACUGUAUCACACUGGCUGGUGCACAUGGACACUAAGUCCACACUGCUAAAAGUCCUUGGGUUGAAAUAAGUUACUGCAAAUGCACAGUAGCUGAUUUUGAAACCACAACACUGCUACAAUUUAUUAUCAUCAUUUUUACAAAAUACCCAAAGUGAUCAGGUCAUAUGGUAGAUUACUGACUUGCCAAAGGUUAUGUUUUAAAUCAAAACCGUUUGAAUUAUACAAGUGCCAAAAAUAUCUUGAACCAAUCUUUUUUUUUUUUAAAUCAACCCGUCCAAUGAAACAGUUGUAUAAUUUAAAACAGAACCAAAAGUUUGUGUUGGAAAUUGUUUAAAAACCAACCCUCCAAAUCAUGCUGGAGCAGAAGCCUUGUAUGGCAAGAUUUAGCCUGGGGCAAUUUGGUGCCAAGGUAUAGACUCCCCCUAUGGGUUUAUAAUGGAAAUACUGACACAACCUUAACUAUAGUGAUGCGAACAUGCCCCUAAAACACUGUAUUGGUUUUUAUUAAUAGAAGUGGUAGUGUUUACAUUUGCAGGUAUCUUACACUUCAGCAUCAAUGAAUACUGAGUAGAACGAGCAAAGUCUUGGAUGUAAGGGUCAGAAAUGCCCAAACAGGUGAAUGAGACAAAAGGUGAAAGUCCUCAAUUAUGAAAACAAGUUGUUCAAAUAAAUAAAUGAGGGACGGGGAGAGAAAAUAAUAAAAGAAAAUAAAUGCAAGUGUUAAGUUGGAAUGGUUCAAAUAACUUCAGUUGAUGGCUACUAAAUUAGAGAGAGAAGAAAACACAGUUACUAAUUAAAUAGCAAGCAUUAAAGCUUUAUGGUUUUGUAUUAAAAAUAAAAACAAAACAAAAAAAAGAAAAGCUGUUAAAAAUAAGACUUGCGUUUACUAGGCCACCAAACUGCAUGGACUACUGAAGAAACUAAUAAAAGGCAAUACUGAAACAUUAAGACACACACACACUCCAUAAAUGUGCAACCUGACUUUUCAGUACAUUGCCUCUCUCUCGCUC